UUUCUCUCCUGGAGCCUCAGCAAAUAUUCCCUGUUCUUCUCUGCCGGCUCAUUUCACAGCACAGGGGGACAGCCUGCUCCUGUGCCUCUCAGACGUUCCUUCUUGAGGAGCAACCAGCCUUCCUGGACCCCUUUGCUCUUCAGGACAGAAUCCCAAGGGACCCUCCACUGAUAGCAGUAUCCUGAAUACUUCAAAACCCGCCCUCCAGAAGCCCAGGGCAGCAGUUUUGCUGACACCCCCCACCCCUUCCUGACUGAACUCUACCAUCUCACGGUCACUCUGCCCUAGACGGCUCCCGACCUCCACAUCUCACACCAGUCCCACCCUGUUUGUGAGCAGCAGCUCUAGCGGAGCACCUCCCCGGUGGGCUCUCUUACCAGCUGCGCCAGGAGAUACACAUCUUCCACACACUCUAGAAACCUCCUAGGCUGCUGCUUCUGCACCGUACUGCAUUUCCAGCAUAGAUCAGGGAAGUUGAAGUCCCCCAUGAGAACAAGGGCUGGCGAUGGCACCAUUUCUGCCAGCUGCUGGUAGAACACCUCACACAUUUCUCCAUUCUGGUUAGGCAGUCUGCAGUAGACCCCCACCAGGAUGGCGGCUGUGUUGGUGGUGAUGACAUGACAAGAGUACUGUGUGCAGUUCUGUUACACUGUGUCUGGGCAACGGGGCAGGAAAGGGUCUGGAAGAAGAGUCCCAUGAGGAGCGGUGGAGUGAACUAGGAUUGUUCAGUCCGGAGAAGGCUCAGGGGAGGCCUCACUUCAUGUAACUCUCUGACAGGAGGCUGUAGCGAGGUGGGGGUCGGCCUCUUCUUCCAGGUAACAGCGACGGGACCAUCGAGAUGGGACCUGCUGCUUGAGUUGCAGCAGGGGAGGUCCCCGUAGCUUGUUAGGAAGAACAUGAGUGCUGUAAGAGCGGUCGGGCACUGGCACAGCUGCCCGGGGAGCUGGGGGAGUCAGCGUCCAAGGAGGUGCUCCAGAAGGGUGGGGAUGUGGCCCUGAGGGACGUGGGCAGUGGGCAGCUGGGUGGUGCUUGGUGGGACUUGGUGAUCUCUUUGCCAACCAUAGAGAUUCUGUGAUUCUGUGAUUCUGUGAGUCGAGUCGUUUAUUGGAACGAGAGGUAAUCAGCGGCCAAAAGCCCACAAGCAGAGCCUGGAGAACAUCACGGCAACACAUAAACACUCGACUGGGAUACUGCUGGAGCCACAGGCCCCGUAGUGUUCAGGUGGGGCCAGGAGGGUGGAUGUGCCGCCCAGUGCCUUCGGCAGCACCAACACGCCAGGUUCCAGCAGGGCUGCGUCCGGCACUGGGCCCCACAAUGUGCGCUGGCUGCAAGAGCCGCCGCCCUCCUGCUUGGGUGCCCUCAGCCUUGUGAGGUGUGAUGGCGUCACAGAGGGUGUCACGGAACGGCCAUUGUGACACGCGGGCUGUGGAGCAGAGCUGAGGCUGCGGAACUCAGGCCCAGCUCAGUGCGACUUGUGAGGUUGGCACGCAGAGGACGAAGCCCAGCAGUGAUGGGACAGAGACUCUGCAAGUGGUUGCGGUCGACGCGCACGCCGUGUGCGGAGACACAGCAGAGAGGAAGAUCUCUCAGAUUGGGAGAUCCAGCAUGCGUGUUCUGUGGCCGAAUGGACGAGGACUCGUGCAUCCUUGGCCGCAGACGUCAGGGAUAUGGGCUCUCCUUCCAUUCUUUCU
Non-coding RNA from Coturnix japonica (Japanese quail), 1691 nucleotides. NCBI's taxonomy places the organism in Eukaryota, Metazoa, Chordata, Aves, Galliformes, Phasianidae. The record is from RefSeq and is a predicted model, not a curated record.